GCUCAUUUACGUUUUGUGCCGUGUUCCUUCUUCCUCAGUUAUGGAAUGAUUUAUCCUAGCAAAUUGUUGAGGUGUGUGCGCUAUUUAUCAACGACUACCUGCUAGCCUCGUCAACAAUCUUCAAAGUGAGCGACGGAAAGAAAACGUUUUCCAGUUUUAAAAUAUUAAGCCCCCGGUGAGGACGUCAUUACUUAACAGAAGCCGGUUCAACACGCGCAGCACGGAUGGUACCACGAGCGCAGUAGGAGGAAGGAAGAACGAGAGGAGGAAGAACGGUAAAUUUGGAAGGGGGUAAGCGUUCUGCCGUCUACACAGCGGGAGUAUCCCAAAACACAUGUGGGAAGGGAGAGGGAUAU
Long non-coding RNA from Anopheles arabiensis, 356 nucleotides. RefSeq lists it as uncharacterized. The record is from RefSeq and is a predicted model, not a curated record. Lineage: Eukaryota; Metazoa; Arthropoda; Insecta; Diptera; Culicidae. The transcript has 3 exons.